AGUCGAACGAAGGCUUCGGCCUUAGUGGCGCACGGGUGCGUAACGCGUGGGAAUCUGCCCCUUGGUUCGGAAUAACAGUUGGAAACGACUGCUAAUACCGGAUGAUGACGUAAGUCCAAAGAUUUAUCGCCGAGGGAUGAGCCCGCGUAGGAUUAGGUAGUUGGUGUGGUAAAGGCGCACCAAGCCGACGAUCCUUAGCUGGUCUGAGAGGAUGAUCAGCCACACUGGGACUGAGACACGGCCCAGACUCCUACGGGAGGCAGCAGUGGGGAAUAUUGGACAAUGGGCGAAAGCCUGAUCCAGCAAUGCCGCGUGAGUGAUGAAGGCCUUAGGGUUGUAAAGCUCUUUUACCCGGGAUGAUAAUGACAGUACCGGGAGAAUAAGCUCCGGCUAACUCCGUGCCAGCAGCCGCGGUAAUACGGAGGGAGCUAGCGUUAUUCGGAAUUACUGGGCGUAAAGCGCACGUAGGCGGCUUUGUAAGUAAGAGGUGAAAGCCCAGAGCUCAACUCUGGAAUUGCCUUUUAGACUGCAUCGCUUGAAUCAUGGAGAGGUCAGUGGAAUUCCGAGUGUAGAGGUGAAAUUCGUAGAUAUUCGGAAGAACACCAGUGGCGAAGGCGGCUGACUGGACAUGUAUUGACGCUGAGGUGCGAAAGCGUGGGGGGCAAACAGGAUUAGAUACCCUGGUAGUCCACGCCGUAAACGAUGAUAACUAGCUGUCCGGACACUUGGUGUUUGGGUGGCGCAGCUAACGCAUUAAGUUAUCCGCCUGGGGAGUACGGCCGCAAGGUUAAAACUCAAAUGAAUUGAC
This 808-nucleotide ribosomal RNA is filed under the name uncultured bacterium. Its description in RNAcentral is "bacterial SSU rRNA". It matches the Rfam family "Bacterial small subunit ribosomal RNA", at positions 60 to 914 of the family's 1533-position model. The record is from RNAcentral.